Molecule: small nucleolar RNA, 138 nt
Organism: Ornithorhynchus anatinus (platypus)
Lineage: Eukaryota; Metazoa; Chordata; Mammalia; Monotremata; Ornithorhynchidae
Source: RefSeq, a predicted model, not a curated record
CCCCUCUCAAGAUCACAUCUGUAGAGUUUCCAGUACUCUAUUAGUCUCAGCUAUGGGAGGGAGAAUCAGGCAGAGGGAUACACAUUCCAUUCCUAGCUUGGGCAGCAGCUAGCAAGUGGAAGGCAAUCUGCUGCAAGU